This 575-nucleotide ribosomal RNA is filed under the name Micrococcus sp. AIR-NUS-05. RNAcentral describes it as "bacterial SSU rRNA". It matches the Rfam family "Bacterial small subunit ribosomal RNA", at positions 156 to 744 of the family's 1533-position model. The record is from RNAcentral. Lineage: Bacteria; Bacillati; Actinomycetota; Actinomycetes; Micrococcales; Micrococcaceae.
ACUGGGUCUAAUACCGGAUAGGAGCGCCUACCGCAUGGUGGGUGUUGGAAAGAUUUAUCGGUUUUGGAUGGACUCGCGGCCUAUCAGCUUGUUGGUGAGGUAAUGGCUCACCAAGGCGACGACGGGUAGCCGGCCUGAGAGGGUGACCGGCCACACGGGACUGAGACACGGCCCAGACUCCUACGGGAGGCAGCAGUGGGGAAUAUUGCACAAUGGGCGCAAGCCUGAUGCAGCGACGCCGCGUGAGGGAUGACGGCCUUCGGGUUGUAAACCUCUUUCAGUAGGGAAGAAGCGAAAGUGACGGUACCUGCAGAAGAAGCACCGGCUAACUACGUGCCAGCAGCCGCGGUAAUACGUAGGGUGCGAGCGUUAUCCGGAAUUAUUGGGCGUAAAGAGCUCGUAGGCGGUUUGUCGCGUCUGUCGUGAAAGUCCGGGGCUUAACCCCGGAUCUGCGGUGGGUACGGGCAGACUAGAGUGCAGUAGGGGAGACUGGAAUUCCUGGUGUAGCGGUGGAAUGCGCAGAUAUCAGGAGGAACACCGAUGGCGAAGGCAGGUCUCUGGGCCUGUAACCUGAC